RNAcentral lists this microRNA precursor (154 nucleotides) under Physcomitrium patens. RNAcentral describes it as "Physcomitrella patens miR477d stem-loop (ppt-MIR477d)". Its record names the gene ppt-MIR477d. Lineage: Eukaryota; Viridiplantae; Streptophyta; Bryopsida; Funariales; Funariaceae. The record is from miRBase by way of RNAcentral.
GUUGAUUUCGAUUAAACAGAUUGCUUGUUCCUCUCCCUCAAAGGCUUCCAACAACAGGUACUUGGUCUUGUUUUCACCAGCAAAGCUAAGGCCCGUCCCAGAUGUUAGAAGCCUCUGGGGGUGACGAAGCAGCAGCUGUAUGGGUGGUUCCCAU